Molecule: ribosomal RNA, 301 nt
Filed under: uncultured bacterium
Lineage: Bacteria
Description: partial 16S ribosomal RNA
Rfam family: Bacterial small subunit ribosomal RNA
Source: RNAcentral
CAGUAGCCACGGUAAUACGAACGGGGCUAGCGUUGUUCGGAUUUACUGGACGUAAAGCGCACGUAGGCGGAUCGAUCAGUCAGGGGUGAAAUCCCAGAGCUCAACUCUGGAACUGCCUUUGAUACUGUCGAUCUGGAGUAUGGAAGAGGUGAGUGGGAUUCCGAGUGUAGAGGUGAAAUUCGUAGAUAUUCGGAGGAACACCAGUGGCGAAGGCGGCUCACUGGUCCAUUACUGACGCUGAGGUGCGAAAGCGUGGGGAGCAAACAGGAUUAGAGACCCCGGUAGUCCCUGUCUCUUAUAA